UACAGAGGGGGCAAGCGUUGUUCGGAAUUACUGGGCGUAAAGGGCGCGUAGGCGGCCUUCUAAGUCGAACGUGAAAUCCCCGGGCUCAACCCGGGAACUGCGUCCGAUACUGGAAGGCUUGAAUCCGGGAGAGGGAUGCGGAAUUCCUGGUGUAGCGGUGAAAUGCGCAGAUAUCAGGAGGAACACCUAUUGCGAAGGCAGCUCGCUGGGACGUAACUGACGCUGAGACGCGAAAGCGUGGGGAGCAAACAGG
This 253-nucleotide ribosomal RNA is filed under the name uncultured bacterium. RNAcentral's name for it is "partial 16S ribosomal RNA". It matches the Rfam family "Bacterial small subunit ribosomal RNA", at positions 524 to 776 of the family's 1533-position model. The record is from RNAcentral.